GAUGAACGCUGGCGGCGUGCUUAACACAUGCAAGUCGAACGGGAUCGGCUGGAGCUUGCUCCGGCCGUGAGAGUGGCGAACGGGUGAGUAAUGCGUGACCGACCUGCCCCAUACACCGGAAUAGCUCCUGGAAACGGGUGGUAAUGCCGGAUGCUCCAGUUGACCGCAUGGUCCUCUGGGAAAGCUUUCGCGGUAUGGGAUGGGGUCGCGUCCUAUCAGCUUGAUGGCGGGGUAACGGCCCACCAUGGCUUCGACGGGUAGCCGGCCUGAGAGGGCGACCGGCCACAUUGGGACUGAGAUACGGCCCAGACUCCUACGGGAGGCAGCAGUGGGGAAUAUUGCACAAUGGGCGCAAGCCUGAUGCAGCGACGCCGCGUGCGGGAUGACGGCCUUCGGGUUGUAAACCGCUUUUGACUGGGAGCAAGCCC
This 428-nucleotide ribosomal RNA is filed under the name uncultured bacterium. RNAcentral's name for it is "bacterial SSU rRNA". It matches the Rfam family "Bacterial small subunit ribosomal RNA", at positions 28 to 453 of the family's 1533-position model. The record is from RNAcentral.